Molecule: long non-coding RNA, 442 nt
Filed under: Phasianus colchicus (ring-necked pheasant)
Lineage: Eukaryota; Metazoa; Chordata; Aves; Galliformes; Phasianidae
Description: lncRNA (ENSPCLG00000019032.1)
Source: RNAcentral
AUGAAAGCAGUUGCUGUCAUCGUGCUCCUGCUCCUCGCCUCCAUGUGCCUCCAGGCACAGGCUAGGCUCCUGGAUGACUUUGAGGUGGGAGCAAGCAGAGCUUUUGAUUUAGGACUUAAGUUGCUACGAGGAAAGCGGAACUCCCAUCCCCUUCCCCCUGUGCUGGCGCUCCCAGAUCCCGUGGUUGUGAAUCUUCCUAUCAAGGUGAGUGACACUGGGGGGACCCCUGUAUCCUGCAGGGUCCUGGGCUGUGGGGGGACCCUCAAUCCCUCUGGAUUGGGAGGUGUGGAGGAGAUCAAAAAGGAUCCAAGGAGAACAGUGCCGUCCCUGUAAGGUGCAGGUGAUCGUUGUGGUACCAUAAGGACCCCAUAAGGUCACCCACAGAACACAAAGGGUUCUGGUGCCAUACAGACCAAAUAAAGUGACCAUAAGGUCACUGUCA